This 264-nucleotide long non-coding RNA is filed under the name Capsella grandiflora. Its description in RNAcentral is "long non-coding RNA (CGRA_LNC000413)". The record is from RNAcentral. Lineage: Eukaryota; Viridiplantae; Streptophyta; Magnoliopsida; Brassicales; Brassicaceae.
ACUUUAUUUGGAUACUUUUGCUCCACGAUUUUAUGUCAUUUACAAAACGGGUGCGGUUUUCAGAAGGUUUUUUUUUUAUGUUUCACUCUGGUGCCAAAUUUUAAACCUAACGUGGCCUUUAUAUAAGAGCAAGUAAAACAAGUUUACAAAGUAAAAAAGACAACAAAAGGUCUUAGACUGCAACAUUCAAACAAAUGGCCAGUCGUGUUCUGAACUGUUUAUGGAUUUGAGAUUUCAUUAGUCAUGUUAAAUGCUGUCUUCAUN